UACGAAGGGGGCUAGCGUUGUUCGGAUUUACUGGGCGUAAAGCGCACGUAGGCGGAUUGUUAAGUGAGAGGUGAAAUCCCGGAGCCUCAACUCCGGAACUGCCUUCAUACUGGCAAUCUAGAGUCCGGAAGAGGUGAGUGGAACUCCUAGUGUAGAGGUGGAAUUCGUAGAUAUUAGGAAGAACACCAGUGGCGAAGGCGGCUCACUGGUCCGGUACUGACGCUGAGGUGCGAAAGCGUGGGGAGCAACAGG
Molecule: ribosomal RNA, 252 nt
Filed under: uncultured bacterium
Lineage: Bacteria
Description: partial 16S ribosomal RNA
Rfam family: Bacterial small subunit ribosomal RNA
Source: RNAcentral